This is a non-coding RNA of Oryza glumipatula, 198 nucleotides long. The record is from Rfam. Lineage: Eukaryota; Viridiplantae; Streptophyta; Magnoliopsida; Poales; Poaceae.
AAAAAGAUAAACUCUGGUUUCCGUGUCCAACGUUUGGCCGUCCAUCUUAUUUAAAAAAAUUAUAAAAAAAUUAAAAAGAUAAGUCACGCAUAAAGUAUUAAUCAUGUUUUAUCAUCUAACAACAAUGAAAAUACUAAUUAUAAAAAAAAAUUUAUAUAAGACGGGUAGUUGGCACGAAAACCCAAGGUUUGCUUUUUU